This 684-nucleotide long non-coding RNA is filed under the name Gallus gallus (chicken). Lineage: Eukaryota; Metazoa; Chordata; Aves; Galliformes; Phasianidae. The record is from RNAcentral.
AUCUCAGCUCCUUCAAUAUUUAAGUAUGCAUUUUUUUUUUUCCUUUUUAACAAGUUGCUUUAGGCUUGCUUGCCUACAGAAGCUAGAUAUCUGCUGGAAGGUUAACUUUGGUGUGAUUCUAGCUUCCCACCAGCUCAAGCCCAUCUUCUUUCUAAGCCAACAUUAUUGCCCUGAUUUUUUUUUUUUUGUUUGUAGUACGUAAGAUUUUCAGAAAGAAGAGCAAACAGAUACGUGCAAUCCCCAACCCAAUAAGGUUAGGACUGUGACCUGCUCUUUCCCACCACCAGAGAAGGGACUGUUCCCUUGCAGAGGUCCUUUUCAACAGUUGCUCUGUUUCUGCUCCUCUUUAGUGUUCUGAAUCUGAGACAUAAGAUGGCUGAGUCCAUCUCCAUACGAGCAUAUCCUCUCCUGCUACUCUGUGCGACUCUGUCUGAAUCCGUGACUCAUUUGAGGCCAGAAACUCCACAGCUCUGUUCCAGACCCGCUUCAUUUUUUUCCUGCUCUGAGGAGGGAUGAGGCUGUCCCGAACGUGGAGAAUGCCCACAUAGGGGUAACGCUCCAAGUUCCGUUCCCAUUCCUUAUAGUGGUCCUGGACAACAGCUAUGAUCUUCUUCACCAUAUCGUACAUGGCUUGCUCCUCUUCCUCCAUCUUCCGCCAGCGAUACCGAAGGAAGAUUAGGAUCC